CUGGGACAUAUCCUGAGUCGUGAUACAGUUGGGGCACACCAGGUAAAAGCAGGGCAUUGUGCUGUUGAUGGAAGCUUGGAAACAGAAAACAGAAGACAAAGUGACAACAGCUGUCUUCAAGAAUGGACCAAGGCGCAGCGGGAAUGUGGAUACUCAUAUUUUUAAUUCUAAAGAGUAAAGCAUCCACCGGAAAAACAAUAAACACGACAACAGGAACAGUCUUGCAGGCACACAAAACGCAAUGCAAGAACAACUACCCACAACCCCAAAGAAAAAC
This 277-nucleotide long non-coding RNA is filed under the name Salmo salar (Atlantic salmon). RNAcentral's name for it is "lncRNA (ENSSSAG00000096319.1)". Lineage: Eukaryota; Metazoa; Chordata; Actinopteri; Salmoniformes; Salmonidae. The record is from RNAcentral.